This 873-nucleotide long non-coding RNA is filed under the name Nicotiana tabacum (common tobacco). RNAcentral describes it as "long non-coding RNA (NTAB_LNC004289)". The record is from RNAcentral. Lineage: Eukaryota; Viridiplantae; Streptophyta; Magnoliopsida; Solanales; Solanaceae.
UUAAUCCAUUUCUCUCUCAAAUGGCUCUCUCACUUCUCACUAUCUGGUAAAGAGGGUUUUGAUAGUAUUGGGUUCUUCGAUAUGUUAUCUCAGUGGGUUUGCUAAUUUUUCCGUAAUCAAGAAUUCUUGUUCGCUUUUGGUUUCGAUUGGUGUUUGUUUGGGUCUGUUUCAACCGACGAACAUCGAAAGCUUGCAUUUAAUCUCUGUUACAAGGAAGAUUGUUGUCUAAAAUUCCAAUUAGGUAAGUAAUUCUUUACUGAAAAUGGUUUAUUUCUAGUGUAUUUUACCUGCUUUUAAUAUUGUUUAUACAUAUUAGGGUUUUGAUUGUAGAAACAAUGACUUAAGGCUUUUGAAAUUGAAGUUACUUAGAAUGAAAUUCUACAUCUCAUGCAUGCAUGGCUACUAGUUUUUUAUCGUAACAACCUUAAAAAAUAGGGCUUUGUCUGUAAAUACUUUAUAGGUGUUUCAAAUUGCUGGCUUGUGCCUUUUUACUAAUUAAAAAUUGAGGCUUCUUUGUUAAAUACUUUAUUUGUGUUUUUAAUUAUUGGAUUGUGCUUUUUUAUUGUUAAAAGGUUGUGCUUUUCUUUUAAAUACUUUAACUUUGUUUCAUAUUGUCGUGUUGUAUUCUUUUUAAGUUGGGGCUUUUCUGUAAAAUUUUCUGGUGUUAUUGUUUGUGGAUGUAGGGUAAUUUAUGGCUUUAAAAUAUUUUAACUUAUGGUGAGUGAGGUGGGGCAUGUCUAUAUUGGGGGUGGGACAGAAUAUAUUUUCAAUGUUGAUGAGGAUCAUUUGUCAAUUCCUGAACUGGCAGAUUAAGCUAGGAGUUUUGGAAUUACUAAGUUAAAAAAAGACCUUUGUGGUUCCAUAAAGGGGGAU